UGGGGAAUUUUGGACAAUGGGGGAAACCCUGAUCCAGCCAUCCCGCGUGUGCGAUGAAGGCCUUCGGGUUGUAAAGCACUUUUGGCAGGAAAGAAACGUCAUGGGUUAAUACCCCGUGAAACUGACGGUACCUGCAGAAUAAGCACCGGCUAACUACGUGCCAGCAGCCGCGGUAAUACGUAGGGUGCAAGCGUUAAUCGGAAUUACUGGGCGUAAAGCGUGCGCAGGCGGUUCGGAAAGAAAGAUGUGAAAUCCCAGAGCUCAACUUUGGAACUGCAUUUAUAACUACCGGGCUAGAGUGUGUCAGAGGGAGGUGGAAUUCCGCGUGUAGCAGUGAAAUGCGUAGAUAUGCGGAGGAACACCGAUGGCGAAGGCAGCCUCCUGGGAUAACACUGACGCUCAUGCACGAAAGCGUUGGGAGCAAACAGG
Molecule: ribosomal RNA, 429 nt
Filed under: Acidobacteriota bacterium
Lineage: Bacteria; Pseudomonadati; Acidobacteriota
Description: Acidobacteria bacterium partial 16S ribosomal RNA
Rfam family: Bacterial small subunit ribosomal RNA
Source: RNAcentral